GGCCCCUUGGUCAAGCGGUUAAGACAUCGCCCUUUCACGGCGGUAACAGGGGUUCGAGUCCCCUAGGGGUCACCA
This 75-nucleotide transfer RNA is filed under the name Clostridia bacterium. RNAcentral's name for it is "tRNA-Glu". It matches the Rfam family "tRNA". Rfam says of the family: Transfer RNA (tRNA) molecules are approximately 80 nucleotides in length. RNAcentral also lists the same sequence under 1 other name. Lineage: Bacteria; Bacillati; Bacillota; Clostridia. The record is from RNAcentral.